Molecule: ribosomal RNA, 467 nt
Filed under: uncultured bacterium
Lineage: Bacteria
Description: partial 16S ribosomal RNA
Rfam family: Bacterial small subunit ribosomal RNA
Source: RNAcentral
GACGAACGCUGGCGGCGUGCUUAACACAUGCAAGUCGAACGGAAAGGCCCUGCUUUUGUGGGGUGCUCGAGUGGCGAACGGGUGAGUAACACGUGAGUAACCUGCCCUUGACUUUGGGAUAACUUCAGGAAACUGGGGCUAAUACCGGAUAGGAGCUCCUGCUGCAUGGUGGGGGUUGGAAAGUUUCGGCGGUUGGGGAUGGACUCGCGGCUUAUCAGCUUGUUGGUGGGGUAGUGGCUUACCAAGGCUUUGACGGGUAGCCGGCCUGAGAGGGUGACCGGCCACAGUGGGACUGAGAUACGGCCCAGACUCCUACGGGAGGCAGCAGUGGGGAAUAUUGCAAAAUGGGCGGAAGCCUGAUGCAGGAACGCCGCGUGCGGGAUGACGGCCUUCGGGUUGUAAACCGCUUUCGCCUGUGACGAAGCGUGAGUGACGGUAAUGGGAAAGAAGCACCGGCUAACUACGUG